This is a long non-coding RNA of Pseudopipra pipra, 3350 nucleotides long. RefSeq lists it as uncharacterized. The record is from RefSeq and is a predicted model, not a curated record. The transcript has 4 exons. Lineage: Eukaryota; Metazoa; Chordata; Aves; Passeriformes; Pipridae.
AUAACAGUAAUUAGUGUACAGCUUUUCCUACAAGCACACGUACCCUACCAGUUCCACUGCUGUGGAUAAAAGAGGGCCGUGCUAAGCCGUGUGGGCACCCAGUGCCUUGCCAGGCCGCUGGCAGUGCUGAGCUGGUGAGUGGCUCACAGGGACCCUUUGUUGCUGCAGUUAUUCUGAUUCCUUGUGUGCAUCUAACUGGAUCACAGGGACAGCGUGGCUCAGACACAAAUGCUCUUCCCUCUCCACCUACCUGAGCUAAACUGCAGCUGCUCCCUCCUCCCCCAGCACGGGGAUGAACUGUCCCUGUCCCACUGCCAGAGCACAGGGCUGCCUCUCACCACCCACUCCACACCUUGCCAGACAUCAAACUGCUAAAGGACUGUGCAGAAUUAACCACAGGCUGUUAAAGUUCAACCAAAUACACCACUCGGGAGUCUCGAACCAAAAGUCAUCCAAAGCAGCUGGGUUUAGGAUGGUUUCAGACAACAAUGUCAGUGCAAACUGCACGAGGGAAUGCUGCCCCACGGAGGGGGGAGUCACCAUCAAAUUCAGGUGUUAAAACGACUCCAUCCAUCUUUACAUAUUCAGGUAACUACAGGUCUCCUGAAAAUGUUGUCACCUGGCAGCUUGGGAGGUGGAGGGCCCCUCAGCUGAUGUGUAAUAACCACAGGCACUUUGGAGGAAAAAAAAAAACUGCUGAAGGCUAUACAUUGAUGAAAAAAUUAGCAUUUAUCAGUAUAACACCAUUAUGAGACCAGCAUGGCACUAACAUACACAAAAUCUAAAUCUAUUUUUCUGCUUAGACUUAGGAAAACCUGAAAGACUGUGAUCUCACCAGGCAGAAAAUGUCUCCUUGCAGUAUAAGCACUGAAAGUAAUUGGGCAGAAGCAAAUAAUUUGCAUAUAAUUGAACAAGACAUAAUAAAAAAACCACCCCAGCAAAUGGAUGAGCCAGCACCAAGAGGCCAUUCAUUACCUGCACUGAGUUCAACCGGCAGUAUCCGUUCAAGGGAAACCUGAUAACGUGGGUUGGGUCCUGGUUCCAGCCUGCGUUUACAGAGUUGCACAUGACAUCCCCAGUCUCUGGGAAGAUCUCUUCUAUUAAAGCCUUCUCCCCACUCAAUGCAAUUCUCUCCCCCAGAUCUGGAGUCACUCUUACAACCAAGCAGUCACAAGGCUGGAAAUGUUUCCUUUGUUCUUUCUCUUGUUUCCAUCGCUCAAGUUCCUUAAUCAUUGGCUGCAGCUGGUAAUACUUUGCUUCUUCAUAUAAAAGAUUAAAGUCCUGGGAGGAAGAAAAAAGAAGAGAGAGGGAGAGAGAGAAACUAGAAAUGCUUAUAGUUCUCUUUUAAAAACGAGUAUUGUUCCUGUUUGACCUACUUAGGCUUAUGUACUGUCAGCAAGAGCGCAAAGGCAACAGGUAUCCACAUAUCUUCAUCUUACACCUACACAGAAAACCACAUGGUGUUAGUGUUGAAUCUAUUUGAGCUGACCAUGAAGUUCCCAUUGCACUGAAUUAUCCUUUCAUUUAUUAUCCCACAAGCUCAAUGCCAGAAGGCUUUAGUCUUGGAUUAAGAAAUCAAAAUAGCUGGUUGCAAUAAACAAAGCCUACUGAUGUAAGAGAAGAUGUUCCAAGCCCUAAUCUUCAGUCUUGGCCUCAGAUACUUCUGAUCUUACAACAGAUCUCAGGCUUCGCUGUCGCCUCUCACACAUGUUACGAGAUGGAGAUGUCAGUUCAGCUUCACUUCUCACCUGUCUUUGCUGAGGCUGAAAUUCAGCUGCAGCAGCUCAGCUGCUCCCUGCAUUUCAUGACUAUUCAUGUAUUUAAAGCAUACUUUGGAGCCUGGUAAAUUAUAUGGAGGGAGUGACCAUCCUGCUGGGUGGGAGCUCAGCUGUGCACUCCAAUAGCUUAAAAGAAGCUGUUCUUCCCUGCCAUUGUCCAUCGCCUCACUUUGGCUUUGGGCAAUUCAAAUUCCCAAUUUGAUCCAGUUCCCAGUUCAGUGAUUGAGAUAUCUGCUGCACAUCCUCAUCAGAUGCACAUCCUUUCAUCAGGUUUCUGACACAUCUUUCCACCUCAGCCAUGUGAGAGUACGUGGAGGCAAAGGGUGUCAGCCCCCCCAACUCAAGGAGGCAGCAGUGCCCACCAGGCCAAGCCUGAGAAGGAGAAGGAGACACCCUCACUGAGCACUCUGCUUACAGUGGCCACACCACCUCCUUCAGCCUCCUGAGGGGAGGAGGAGCAAAAAGAGCACGGCACCAGCAAAGACCUGCUGUUUGCUUUCCUGGCUCUUGCACCUCUUUAAAGAUGCAGAUGCUGCACCCCAGGUAAGACAGUACCUGACUUUUGUGGAGUAUGCUGGAACACCUGGAACAAAGGCUGGUUCUACACCAGUGAAAUGAAACAAAAAAAUCACAAGAGUGAAAUGACUGGAAUCAUUUGGACUGGAAAGAAUGGCAUGACAAGGAAUAAUCAAGAAAUGGGCACUCAAAUUCCAUGAAAAAUAACGGGUGUGCUGCUGCCCAGGGACUCAGGGAAGAGAGGGAAUCAAGUGAACAGGCAGCACAAAAAGGUGCGACUCUUCAGAGUGGUUUGGAAUUAACCUGUAAAAUCUGCUGCUGCAGGGUAUUACUGAACCAAAGCAGUUAGCUCUGUUCAAAUUUGGCACCACAGACCCACCACCGUUAGCUGAGGUGCUCCCUCACCCCAGGGCUGCCUGCAGCCUGGAGACGUAUGAAUAUUCACAGUGACAGCGGCAAGGUUAUCGCCUUACAAAAGGGACAUCCAAUGCUUUACAUCUCUUUGAUGUCUGUUAAGGCUGGGACAAUGCACACACUGCUAAGGGAGGGAAAAAAAGACCGGAGCAGCGAGGAAGAGGGAUAAGAGCAAGUGGGAAGAAAUGAGGGCAACAAACACACUCACAGAACACAGCUUGAAGAUGAAAAACAACAGGAAGAUUAAAGAAGAAAUCGUACAGAAGGCAUGCUGCAAACAACCAGAGCUGGGAACAGGCCAGGCAAAGAGCCGGGCACUGGCUGCACCACCUUCUCUCAGGUUUUAUACAUUGUUUGGAGAGCUGUGUGUCUGUGACAGGACUGGAAGCGAUGCUCAGCUCUGGACUAUCUGCACUGAAUGCUCAGGAUGCCCAGUGCUGUGAAGAUCUGACUCCUGGCUACGAGAGAAAGUUGCUCACUUCUGUGUGACAACUGCACCAUUUGCUAAGGUCAGUCUGAGAAGACUUAAAAUUAGAUGAAAGCACACUAAUUUUGUAACUGUAUUAAUAAAUUAGUGGUGGCCUUGUCAUUCUGGUGACCUCUGUAAUCCAUAUAAAACUCAGAUGUCCUGUGCAUUUGUGC